Molecule: small nucleolar RNA, 94 nt
Organism: Lactuca sativa (garden lettuce)
Lineage: Eukaryota; Viridiplantae; Streptophyta; Magnoliopsida; Asterales; Asteraceae
Product: small nucleolar RNA snoR128
Source: RefSeq, a predicted model, not a curated record
UUGCUAUGAUGAUAACGUCUAUGAGAUUUUUUUGAGAGUUUAAAGCUUCGUGAAACGUCGACGUUAAUGUCGAUCUGAGCGGUUAGCUGAGCAA